RNAcentral lists this long non-coding RNA (334 nucleotides) under Vombatus ursinus (common wombat). RNAcentral's name for it is "lncRNA (ENSVURG00010018500.1)". Lineage: Eukaryota; Metazoa; Chordata; Mammalia; Diprotodontia; Vombatidae. The record is from RNAcentral.
GUAGCAGCAAAGAAACAGGACAAAUGGACCCUUGCAGCAUCGAUUUGUAACUGACUUGAAUAAUACAUCAAAUGUCUGUCACUUCAUCACAGGAGCCUGGAGAUUCAAACACCUGAGACCUUGGAUUCCUAGCUUCAAGGAUACAUAGGGAAGAAUUGGACCUGAAUGAAGGAUACCUAAGACACAGGGCCCAAGAAGAAGGACGAGAGAAUCACUGCAUAAGAGAAUCAAGGUGGGGAAGAGAUCUAAGGACAUUCUACCAGGGAAUUUCAAUACCUGAAGACAGGUGUCUAUGAUAAGGAGAAAUUGGAAAAUGUGUGUAAUGAAAUUUGAG